Molecule: long non-coding RNA, 252 nt
Filed under: Nicotiana benthamiana
Lineage: Eukaryota; Viridiplantae; Streptophyta; Magnoliopsida; Solanales; Solanaceae
Description: long non-coding RNA (NBEN_LNC027414)
Source: RNAcentral
UCAAGAUACAACAACUAUGUCGGCUAACCAGUUGUUGGGUUCGUUAAGUUCUCAUGAGCAGAGAAUGAACCAGACAGCGAGUAGUAGUAAUCAAGAACAAGCUUUGCAAAGCAGCUAUGUCCCAGUAAAUCGCGGUGGCAGUCAAGGCAACAACAGCCAUGGACGCGGUGGCGGACAAGGUAGCGGGCAAGGUGGAGGAAAUUGGAAAAAUAAUUCUUCUGGUAAAAUUGACAAGUCCAAAGUCAAAUGUUA